Cynoglossus semilaevis (tongue sole) is the source of this 4215-nucleotide RNA transcript. It is a transcript of the gene named glycerophosphodiester phosphodiesterase domain containing 5b, with no coding region annotated. The record is from RefSeq and is a predicted model, not a curated record. The transcript has 18 exons. NCBI's taxonomy places the organism in Eukaryota, Metazoa, Chordata, Actinopteri, Pleuronectiformes, Cynoglossidae.
AGUAACGUAUAAGGCAAAUUGUAUGAAUUUAGUAUUUAAUUUAUACCGGGAGAAAUUUUAUUUAAAAAUAUUUAGGCUAACUCAACACCGUGUACCUUUAACGGGCAGCGUUUUGCUGCGUUCAGGUUACAUAGGAAUUUCUUUAGUGUAGUUUAAGUGUAGAGCUUAUUAGAAAAGACUCGUUUAUGUGUCUGAAACACAAGAAAGAGCUUUUAAAAUCAUAGGAAAAAGCAGAUAUAUUUAAGAUUAUACAAACACAAUUUUAAAAAGUAAUAAUAUGAGGUAGGGAAUAAACCAGCACUCUGUCAUCCGCUAUGUCCCUGAACGCGCCGAGCGGCGGUAACGUGAGCUCCCCCCACCACAGCAGACUGCAUUGAAGCAGCCACUCUCACUCACUCGCUCCUCGCAAUGUUCAGAAGGUGGAAUGACUGCCGGUGUGUGUCACACAGAGACGAGUAAAAAAACAAAACGGAGUAAAGUGUACGAAGACCUGAGAUUGAAUUUGUUUUAGUCGGUGGAUAACUCCGUUUACCGCCUUUCUCCUCGGCGAUUUUAAAAAAAAACAAUCAACAAAACUUCGCUUCUGUCAGCGUUGAGCUCACCGGUGAGCUGCUCACCUCCCGGCCGUUACUUCUAAAACGGGUUGUCCUGGCUUGACUCUCAAAGGUGGAGUUAAAAAAGAAGAAGAAGAAGAAGAAGAAGCAGCGUCGGACACCUGACCUUCACAUAAGUAAGAGACAAGUACCAGUAACCGACAGGAGCCUCUAUACUGAGUGGGAUGUUAGAACUCUGGAGUCAGGAUCAGGACUGACUGUAGGAGCAUGGUGAAACACCAACCCCUCCAGGUCUAUGAGCGACAGCUUUGUUUAUCAUGCAUCACCGGAAUCUAUGGUUGCCGCUGGAAACGCUACCAACGAUCCCACGAUGACACGACCAAGUGGGAGCUGCUGUGGUCCCUCGUCCUCCUGUUGACCUUCUGUCUGCUGCUCGUGUGGUUCUACUUCUGGUGGGAAGCCCAUAAUGACUACAGUGAAUUCAACUGGUUCCUCUACAAUCGCUCCGGGGAGUGGAGUGACGGCACCGUUCCCAUCCUGGCGACCACUGCUGCUGGCUUCACAUAUAUUGCAUUUUUAAUGGUUUUAGCACUUUGCCACAUUGCACUCGGGCAGCAGUUAAAUUUGCACUGGCUUCAUAAGAUUGGAGUGACCGCUGCUUUGUUCACCACCGUCGCUGGAGUGAUAGCCAUCAAUCAAACAUGGGGACAAGAGUGGGACGUCAUCCCCAUCUCACUGCAGGCUACAGGUCCGUUUCUGCACUUCGGGGCUUUAGCCGCUGCGACGGCGCUGUCGUGGAUCGUCGCAGGACAAGUCAUGCGUGCAGAAAAAACAAUAUUCCAGGUGGUCAUCAUGCUGCUGUACCUCAGCGUGCUGCUGGGACUCUACGUCCUCCCCCUCUACAUCACCUCCCCCUGCAUCAUGGAGCCGGCCAACCUCAGCCCCCGUCCUGAUGUCAUCGGUCACCAGGGAGCCCCCAUGGUUGCUCCAGAAAACACACUCUGGUCAUUCCAGCGUGCUCUGCAGAUGAAUGUCACUGGACUGGAGGCUGAUGUUUCCAUCAGUUCUGAUGGAGUUCCUUUCCUGAUCCACGACCGCACGCUGCAGAGAACCACAGACGUGGAGAAGGUUUUCCCAGACAGGCAGAUGGAGGACGCCUCAUUCUUCAACUGGACUGAUCUGAGGCAGCUCAACGCAGGACAGUGGUUCCUAAAGGACGACCCCUUCUGGACAGUGGACACGUUGACCGUCAACGAGACAGCACGGGUGGCCAACCAAAGCGUGUGCAGCCUGGAGCAGCUGCUGAAGUUGUCCUCAUACCACAACACCACCGUGGUCUUCAGGCUCAGGAGGCCCCCUACAGACCAUCCCUGUUACUACAGCUGGAUCAACGACACCCUGGGGGCCGUUCAGCGAUCGGGGAUUCCUCAGAGUCUGGUGAUGUGGACUCCAGAUGAACACAGAGACCAGGUGAAGCAGCUGGCUCCUGAUCUGAUCCAGACCUCGGUGGAGAAAAGGAGUCCUCAGCAUCUGCAGCAGUUGGGCAUCAGCAGUCUGCUGUUACGAUACAACCCAGUCAUCACACAGGAAAUCAGUGAAUUUGUCGAGAGCCACAUCAACCUGACCCUCUACACUGUCAAUGAGCCCUGGCUCUACUCCGUCCUGUGGUGCAGCGGAGUGUCCUCGGUGUCCUCAGAAGCCCCGCACAUCCUCAAGAAGGUGCCUUACCCCAUCUGGCUCAUGGGCCCACAUAAGUACACCCUGCUGUGGGUUUCUGCUGACGUCAUCUCUUUCGCUGUAGUCAUAGGAAUCUUUGUUUUCCAGAACUAUCACAUGAUCAGGUAUCGUAUGAGCGGAAUGCACCGCUAUCACCCGGAGCAGAUUAUGCUGAGUGCUGCGGUCCGACGGCCCAGUCGAGACAUGAGCGUCAUGAAGGAGAAACUCAUCUUUUCAGGUCAGCCACAGUGACCUCCUGCAUCGUUCACGUGUGAUGUGCAUCCAACCUCUUCUGUAUUGACUUCUUCCUCUGAUUCCGUUCAUCCGUCACUCCCCUCGCAUCCUGGCGUCCCUCUGUUCUUUUCCUCCCCCUCCCCCAUCCAUCCAUCCAUCCAUCCAUCCAUCCAUCCCUCGCAUCCCUGACUUUCCCCUCCCCUGAAGACGGCGUUGUGUUUGUCGGAGUUUAUAGACACCACUGUCUGUCUUGACUCCAUGUUUUUCCGGGGGCGGUGAAAGAAAUGGGGAACGGACUGGACAGCGCUGAAGAGCUGUACACAGAUAACAGCUACGACUACUACAACACUCAGGGCGUAGGUCAGUGAGCGGCACCGAGCCAGCGUGAGAACGACCGAUCUUGCCUUCACAUCAUUCCUAUGCUGAUGAACUCAAACUGAUGCGUCUGAUGCAGAGAACUACCACUAGGUGGCUUGUGUACAUUCUGUAAAUAUCUUUUUUUUGUGUGUUUGUUGUUUUUGGGGAAGUAUUUUUAGCAGAUUGUUUUUUUUUUAUUGUUUGUUUCACAGAGUUUUAAUAGGAGGUUUAUUUAAAGAUGUGACUAACGUUUAACUACUACUUAACUAGCACUCCUGCCGUCUGUCAGCACUCCGCUGCUGUCGAUCAAUUUUUUUAAAAGAGGAGGCGACAAAAUGAGCGGUUUACAGAAAUCCUGCCGUUUUUCCGCGUGAUGUGUCAGAUUACCGCAAAGCCAUGAACUCUGGGAACAACGUCAAAUAUUUCCUAAAACAUUUCAAAAGAUGUGAAACAGUGUAAAUAGGUUGUUGACACACACACAGUGUCAAUAGGUUAGUGAGUAAUUGAUUAGUAAACUAACAAAUUUAAACUGAAAUGUGAUUGACACCCCUGUCACCUACAGUACCUCUAUCGUCCACCAGGGGGCGGCAGCCCUCCUUUUUUGGAUUCACUGCCAUAGUGCAUGUCACAGCUGUGAACCUGUGCUACUGCAGUUCAACACGCUGCACUGGUGGAACUGGUUUGGUCGGAGGAUGAAUACGGUCACGUGACGGUUUAGUUUUUAACAACAGUGUGGUUUGACUUUGAGUUUCUGUGUGUGCGCUGCUGUGUUUAACUGUACACUAGAGGUGAGAGGCCUGGGCUAAAGAGUCCAGUCUGUGGGUCAUGGUCCAGUCUGUGGGACAGAGACCAAUCUGUGGCUCAUGGUCCAGUCUGUGGGUCAUGGUCCAGUCUGUGGGUGUGAAUACUGUAAAUUGUACAAAGUCGGUCGUGAAUGUGAAAAUCGAGCUGUAAGAUGAAUCCGGGGACAACGCUGCAAUAUUUUCAAACUUCCACUCUGCAGUGACUCGUUGCAUCUUGUGUUGGAAAAGAAUUAUCUUCCAGUACAAGUUCAAUCAGUCUGCUGUAGAUUUUUUAAGUUGAACUUUUUUUUUUUUUUUUUUUAUGUUUGAAGCGUAUUUAUUGGUUAACCAUUUCUCUCUCUCUGUCAGAAGUGUUUUGUUGAUUUCUCUCGUACACCGUGGUCAGAGACGUGAGCCACAGAACAGACAAACCGUUUGUUUGCAGGAAGCUCAUUUAUUAAGAAAUGCUUUUUUUUUCUUUUUUUUUAAUUGUACAUCACAACUUCACUCUGCAUUUUUAAGCAUGGGAUGAUAAAACAUGAAUGAAUAAAACCUGCAGUUAAUAAAAUAAA